CAUUAAGUCUGAGACCUGAUGCCGAGCCGAUUGUGGUGAAGUGGAUGAUCCUAUGCUGUCGAGAAAAGCCUCUAGCGAGUUUCAUGGCGGCCCGUACCCUAAACCGACUCAGGUGGUCAGGUAGAGAAUACCGAGGCGUUCGGGUGAACUAUGGUUAAGGAACUCGGCAAAAUGCCCCCGUAACUUCGGGAGAAGGGGGGCCAUCACCGGUGAUUGAAUUUACUUCAUGAGCUGGGGGUGGCCGCAGAGACCAGCGAGAAGCGACUGUUUACUAAAAACACAGGUCCGUGCGAAGCCGUAAGGCGAUGUAUACGGACUGACGCCUGCCCGGUGCUGGAACGUUAAGGGGACCGGUUAGUCACUCUUCGGGGUGGCGAAGCUGAGAACUUAAGCGCCAGUAAACGGCGGUGGUAACUAUAACCAUCCUAAGGUAGCGAAAUUCCUUGUCGGGUAAGUUCCGACCUGCACGAAUGGCGUAACGACUUCUCGACUGUCUCAACCAUAGGCCCGGUGAAAUUGCACUACGAGUAAAGAUGCUCGUUUCGCGCAGCAGGACGGAAAGACCCCGGGACCUUUACUACAGUUUGAUAUUGGUGUUCGGUUCGGCUUGUGUAGGAUAGCUGGGAGACUUUGAACUCUGGACGCCAGUUCAGGGGGAGUCGUCGUUGAAAUACCAGUCUGGUCGUGCUGGAUGUCUAACCUGGGUCCGUGAUCCGGAUCAGGGACAGUGUCUGAUGGGUAGUUUAACUGGGGCGGUUGCCUCCUAAAGAGUAACGGAGGCGCCCAAAGGUUCCCUCAGCCUGGUUGGCAAUCAGGUGUUGAGUGUAAGUGCACAAGGGAGCUUGACUGUGAGACCGACGGGUCGAGCAGGGACGAAAGUCGGGACUAGUGAUCCGGCGGUGGCUUGUGGAAGCGCCGUCGCUCAACGGAUAAAAGGUACCCCGGGGAUAACAGGCUGAUCUUCCCCAAGAGUCCAUAUCGACGGGAUGGUUUGGCACCUCGAUGUCGGCUCGUCGCAUCCUGGGGCUGGAGUCGGUCCCAAGGGUUGGGCUGUUCGCCCAUUAAAGCGGUACGCGAGCUGGGUUUAGAACGUCGUGAGACAGUUCGGUCCCUAUCCGCUGCGCGCGCAGGAACAUUGAGAAGGGCUGUCCCUAGUACGAGAGGACCGGGACGGACGAACCUCUGGUGUGCCAGUUGUUCUGCCAAGGGCAUGGCUGGUUGGCUACGUUCGGGAGGGAUAACCGCUGAAAGCAUCUAAGCGGGAAGCCUGCUUCGAGAUGAGUGUUCCCACCCCCUUGAGGGGUUAAGGCUCCCAGUAGACGACUGGGUUGAUAGGCCGGAUCUGGAAGCCCAGUAAUGGGUGGAGGUGACCGGUACUAAUAGGCCGAGGGCUUGUCCU
This 1399-nucleotide ribosomal RNA is filed under the name Streptomyces sp. NRRL B-24501. RNAcentral describes it as "bacterial LSU rRNA". It matches the Rfam family "Bacterial large subunit ribosomal RNA", at positions 1548 to 2925 of the family's 2925-position model. Lineage: Bacteria; Bacillati; Actinomycetota; Actinomycetes; Kitasatosporales; Streptomycetaceae. The record is from RNAcentral.